GUGCUUAACACAUGCAAGUCAAGGAGAAAGUGAUCUUCGGAUUGUGAGUAAACUGGCGAACGGGUGAGUAACGCGUAGACAACCUGGCUUUAGGUUGGGGAUAACUCGCCGAAAGGCGGGCUAAUACCGAAUGGUGCCAUUGAGUCGCCUGAUUCGAUGGUGAAAGUGGGCUUCGGCUCACGCCUUUAGAUGGGUCUGCGUCUGAUUAGCUAGUUGGUGGG
RNAcentral lists this ribosomal RNA (221 nucleotides) under Fidelibacterota bacterium. RNAcentral's name for it is "partial 16S ribosomal RNA". It matches the Rfam family "Bacterial small subunit ribosomal RNA", at positions 44 to 256 of the family's 1533-position model. Lineage: Bacteria; Pseudomonadati; Fidelibacterota. The record is from RNAcentral.